AUGGCGUUUUUGCAAAUGAAGAGGAUGGUGGCCGGAAUUUUGAAAAGAUUUCGGGUGGUUCCGGCGGCAGCCGAGGAGGGGGUGGAGCCGAGAUUUGUUCAGUACAUGACGGCGAAGAUGGAGGGCGGGUUUCCGGUGAGGAUUGAGGUACGGGAGGGAUCAGAAUAGAGUAGCAAUGCUUUGAUGACCGAUGUGUAGUUCCAUUUAAG
Molecule: unclassified non-coding RNA, 209 nt
Filed under: Hevea brasiliensis (rubber tree)
Lineage: Eukaryota; Viridiplantae; Streptophyta; Magnoliopsida; Malpighiales; Euphorbiaceae
Source: RNAcentral